AACUGGGAUUAGAUACCCCACUAUGCUUAGCCCUAAACAUCGAUAGCGCACUACGCCUGCUAUCCGCCUGGGAACUACGAGCAUCAGCUUGAAACCCAAAGGACUUGGCGGUGCUUUAGAUCCACCUAGAGGAGCCUGUUCUA
RNAcentral lists this ribosomal RNA (143 nucleotides) under Hyperoplus lanceolatus (great sand-eel). RNAcentral's name for it is "partial small subunit ribosomal RNA". The record is from RNAcentral. Lineage: Eukaryota; Metazoa; Chordata; Actinopteri; Uranoscopiformes; Ammodytidae.